CUGCACAGCUCAGUGAUGUCGUCCUGUGCCGUGCCCAAGGUCGGAGCGGUGCCAUCAGUGCCAUGAGCAGUCUCUUGCAGCUGGAAGGCUGGCACAGGCUGGGGGAUGGCUCUCUGUGCCCUUGGCUGGGCUGAGAAGUCUUCUCCCCUCCAGGCAAACAUCGCCCAACCGACGGCUUUCCCAAAGCUUCGGUUCCCAGAUGCCGCCCUUUCCUUGUGCCCUGCAGGCUGUCUGCCACUCUCAGCAGCAGCAAAGCGGUCUGUUGGUCAGCUGUGUCCCCUUGCAGAGCCUGGCAAGAGCAGGAGC
RNAcentral lists this long non-coding RNA (306 nucleotides) under Gallus gallus (chicken). RNAcentral describes it as "lncRNA (ENSGALG00010029971.1)". Lineage: Eukaryota; Metazoa; Chordata; Aves; Galliformes; Phasianidae. The record is from RNAcentral.